This is a long non-coding RNA of Frieseomelitta varia, 84 nucleotides long. RefSeq lists it as uncharacterized. The record is from RefSeq and is a predicted model, not a curated record. Lineage: Eukaryota; Metazoa; Arthropoda; Insecta; Hymenoptera; Apidae. The transcript has 3 exons.
UUAAGGGUAUGGAUGCGUUUGUGUAUAUGUGUGUAUGAAUGACAAAUUUUUGUGCAGAUGAGUCAAAGAUGUCAGAGAGAGAAA